This 1372-nucleotide ribosomal RNA is filed under the name uncultured bacterium. RNAcentral's name for it is "bacterial SSU rRNA". It matches the Rfam family "Bacterial small subunit ribosomal RNA", at positions 28 to 1381 of the family's 1533-position model. The record is from RNAcentral.
GAUGAACGCUGGCGGCGUGCCUAAUACAUGCAAGUCGAGCGAACGGACGAGAAGCUUGCUUCUCUGAUGUUAGCGGCGGACGGGUGAGUAACACGUGGAUAACCUACCUAUAAGACUGGGAUAACUUCGGGAAACCGGAGCUAAUACCGGAUAAUAUUUUGAACCGCAUGGUUCAAAAGUGAAAGACGGUCUUGCUGUCACUUAUAGAUGGAUCCGCGCUGCAUUAGCUAGUUGGUAAGGUAACGGCUUACCAAGGCAACGAUGCAUAGCCGACCUGAGAGGGUGAUCGGCCACACUGGAACUGAGACACGGUCCAGACUCCUACGGGAGGCAGCGGUAGGGAAUCUUCCGCAAUGGGCGAAAGCCUGACGGAGCAACGCCGCGUGAGUGAUGAAGGUCUUCGGAUCGUAAAACUCUGUUAUUAGGGAAGAACAUAUGUGUAAGUAACUGUGCACAUCUUGACGGUACCUAAUCAGAAAGCCACGGCUAACUACGUGCCAGCAGCCGCGGUAAUACGUAGGUGGCAAGCGUUAUCCGGAAUUAUUGGGCGUAAAGCGCGCGUAGGCGGUUUUUUAAGUCUGAUGUGAAAGCCCACGGCUCAACCGUGGAGGGUCAUUGGAAACUGGAAAACUUGAGUGCAGAAGAGGAAAGUGGAAUUCCAUGUGUAGCGGUGAAAUGCGCAGAGAUAUGGAGGAACACCAGUGGCGAAGGCGACUUUCUGGUCUGUAACUGACGCUGAUGUGCGAAAGCGUGGGGAUCAAACAGGAUUAGAUACCCUGGUAGUCCACGCCGUAAACGAUGAGUGCUAAGUGUUAGGGGGUUUCCGCCCCUUAGUGCUGCAGCUAACGCAUUAAGCACUCCGCCUGGGGAGUACGACCGCAAGGUUGAAACUCAAAGGAAUUGACGGGGACCCGCACAAGCGGUGGAGCAUGUGGUUUAAUUCGAAGCAACGCGAAGAACCUUACCAAAUCUUGACAUCCUUUGACAACUCUAGAGAUAGAGCCUUCCCCUUCGGGGGACAAAGUGACAGGUGGUGCAUGGUUGUCGUCAGCUCGUGUCGUGAGAUGUUGGGUUAAGUCCCGCAACGAGCGCAACCCUUAAGCUUAGUUGCCAUCAUUAAGUUGGGCACUCUAAGUUGACUGCCGGUGACAAACCGGAGGAAGGUGGGGAUGACGUCAAAUCAUCAUGCCCCUUAUGAUUUGGGCUACACACGUGCUACAAUGGACAAUACAAAGGGCAGCGAAACCGCGAGGUCAAGCAAAUCCCAUAAAGUUGUUCUCAGUUCGGAUUGUAGUCUGCAACUCGACUACAUGAAGCUGGAAUCGCUAGUAAUCGUAGAUCAGCAUGCUACGGUGAAUACGUUCCCGGGUCU